Long non-coding RNA from Mustela erminea (ermine), 203 nucleotides. RefSeq lists it as uncharacterized. The transcript has 3 exons. Lineage: Eukaryota; Metazoa; Chordata; Mammalia; Carnivora; Mustelidae. The record is from RefSeq and is a predicted model, not a curated record.
CAUGAACUCACUUUAGCAGCAGCAGCAAUGAAAUCCUACAUUUCAAUUCCUUUUUGAGUCACAGAUUACUGAUUUUACAUCAAUAUGGUUUUAUGUCCAGAAGGAAAAAAGAUAUUGAUAAAAUACUAAAGACUGCAACAAGUGGUAUUAAACCAUACUUCUGUGGCCAUCUACUCAGUUACCUGUUCCAGAGACAAGUCAUU